GAUGAACGCUGGCGGCGUGCCUAAUACAUGCCAGUCGAGCGAACGGACGAGAAGCUUGCUUCUCUGAUGUUAGCGGCGGACGGGUGAGUAACACGUGGAUAACCUACCUAUAAGACUGGGAUAACUUCGGGAAACCGGAGCUAAUACCGGAUGAUAUUUUGAACCGCAUGGUUCAAAAGUGAAAGACGGUCUUGCUGUCACUUAUAGAUGGAUCCGCGCUGCAUUAGCUAGUUGGUAAGGUAACGGCUUACCAAGGCAACGAUGCAUAGCCGACCUGAGAGGGUGAUCGGCCACACUGGAAGUGAGACACGGUCCAGACUCCUACGGGAGGCAGCAGUAGGGAAUCUUCGGCAAUGGGGGAAAGCCUGACGGAGCAACGCCGCGUGGGUGAUGAAGGUCUUCGGUUCGUAAAACUCUGUUAUUAGGGAAGAACAUAUGUGUACGUAACUGUGCACAUAUUGACGGUACCUAAUCAGAAAGCCACGGCUAACUACGUG
RNAcentral lists this ribosomal RNA (497 nucleotides) under uncultured bacterium. RNAcentral's name for it is "partial 16S ribosomal RNA". It matches the Rfam family "Bacterial small subunit ribosomal RNA", at positions 28 to 507 of the family's 1533-position model. The record is from RNAcentral.